CUUCCUCCCAGGCACCUCCCUCCACCCGGUUGUAGCUGUUCCUCACCGCUGGGCAAGCGCUUCCCCCUCCUCCCCCACCACCCCAGGAUGGAUUGGUACCUUUCCUGCCUUCCUCAGCCACCUUGCCAAGAGGCCAUUUUCUCUCUCCACUCUUUCCUUCAACUCUGCUAACAACGAAAGUACAUCCUAAAUUGGCCUGGUUUCACACUACAGGAGAUUUGACACCUUCCUCCUCGGAAGCAGCUGUGAGACACCACCAUCUUUCUCCCAAGGCCCAGCUAUUAACUCAACAGUCCCCAGACCCAAGCGAAGUCAGCAGAAGAAAGAAAUGGUUCGAGGCAAAUAGAAAGAUGCUGAGAGGGGCCAUCACCUUAGUCUCACUCACCAGACUGACUGCGCGUGCGGGUGCUCAGAACCACAGGAAUAAAGUCACGGAAACUGCUCUUUGCUUUCU
This 454-nucleotide long non-coding RNA is filed under the name Homo sapiens (human). RNAcentral's name for it is "HSALNT0286314". Lineage: Eukaryota; Metazoa; Chordata; Mammalia; Primates; Hominidae. The record is from RNAcentral.